GACAGCCCCCUGCUUGGGGACAGGUGCUCCAGCCGCACGCGCGCUCUGCAGGAAGGCUGCGUCACCGCGGGUAGCGUGUCCCGGACAACCUGGGGAGACUCCGGGUUUGAGGUGCGGGCCAGCGCGGGGCGGGGGUGCGGGGGUGGAGUCAGACCCUGGGGGUGUGGCCGGAAGGGCCCUGGAGAGCAUGCACGUGGGGAAUCUUCCCCUGGAGUCAGGAAGGGACAGAUGACCCCGAAACCCAGGAACCACUCCACGGAGCAGCCGUCAGCGGGCAGCGAGCACAGCUCCUGAGUGGAGUCCAAUUCCCGUUUUAAACCCAAGGUCGCCGGCCGUCGACCUCGGUGCAGUGACUUUGUAUCUUUUUCGUUUGUCUCUGAAAUGGGGACGGCCCAGGUCAGCGCGGUUUUGAACCCACUGGGUCGCGGUGCUUACCCUGCGCUGUAUGGUCCCUGCAACCCCCAUUUUGGGUAUUGGAACUGGCACUGGGAGGAAGGCCGUGACUUAAGACACUCCAGCCCCGCUCCUGUCUAUCCCACCAGCCUCCCCGCCAGGCCCUCCUUGGGGUCACACGGACCCCAAGACGAAUCUCUGCACACAGACCAUGGUCAGCCAGAUGCCUGCUGGUCAUAGAGAAAAGUCAGUGCAAGCGUUCCCCUGGCUGCUUGAGCUUGUUGGGGGGUGGUCUCAGAAAGGCCCCCGGGACUGAGUCUGGAUUGGUCUCCCUGCCGGGAAAGAGAUGGGACAUGAGUUUCAGACAGAGAGCAAACAGCUCCCCACAACCAAGGGAGAUGUGACAUGUACUUAGCAUCCUUACAACUGCCCUGAGCUGACGAGACGGUGAGUAAAAGGCGCAGAAAAGAGACCUGUGACCUGUGACCUGCUCCAGCGGUCACCCAGCCUCUCUGAAGCCGGCUCUCUCCCCCCAGAUCCCGGCGCCUAUCGGAGAGAGACUCGCCCAAGGUGAAAAUCGCUGGUCAAGGGGAAGAGAAGAGAGAGGCGCUCGUCGGGUAAGCCGGGUGAAGGCUAGCGGAGCUGUGAAAUUCGACCCCAGGCUUCCUGGAAGC
Long non-coding RNA from Phyllostomus discolor (pale spear-nosed bat), 1067 nucleotides. RefSeq lists it as uncharacterized. NCBI's taxonomy places the organism in Eukaryota, Metazoa, Chordata, Mammalia, Chiroptera, Phyllostomidae. The record is from RefSeq and is a predicted model, not a curated record. The transcript is spliced from 2 exons.